This is a non-coding RNA of Gossypium raimondii (Peruvian cotton), 145 nucleotides long. The record is from Rfam. NCBI's taxonomy places the organism in Eukaryota, Viridiplantae, Streptophyta, Magnoliopsida, Malvales, Malvaceae.
UGUUAAAAAUUUCAUCCAUGUUUACUAUUAAAAGUUUACGUAGCUAACAGAAUAAUCAAAGAGUUACACAUGAUGUGCAAUGUAUACCUCGUGCUGACAUAUAAUGAUCAAUUUUUAACAGUAAAAAUAGAUAAAAUUUUUAAUA